Molecule: non-coding RNA, 25 nt
Filed under: Mus musculus (house mouse)
Lineage: Eukaryota; Metazoa; Chordata; Mammalia; Rodentia; Muridae
Source: RNAcentral
UGCUUUCAUAGGUGCUGGCUGGUAA